This 496-nucleotide ribosomal RNA is filed under the name uncultured bacterium. RNAcentral describes it as "bacterial SSU rRNA". It matches the Rfam family "Bacterial small subunit ribosomal RNA", at positions 29 to 491 of the family's 1533-position model. The record is from RNAcentral.
AACGAACGCUGGCGGCAUGGCUAAAACAUGCAAGUCGCACGCGAAAAUUGAAGCAAGCUUGCUUGUGGAUAUGACUAGAGUGGCGAAAGGGCGAGGAAUACAUGGGUAACGUACCUCAAUCUCAGGGAUAGCCGCGGGAAACUGCGGGUAAUACCUGAUGAGACCGUAGUGUCGUAGGGCACAGCGGUCAAAGGCAGGGAUCCUUCGGGACCAGUCGGAUUGAGAGCGGUCCAUGUCCUAUCAGCUAGUUGGUGUGGUAACGGCUCACCAAGGCAACGACGGGUAGCGGGACUGAGAGGUUGAUCCGCCGCAUUGGGACUGAGACACUGCCCAGACUCCUACGGGAGGCUGCAGUAACGAAUAUUGGGCAAUGAGCGAAAGCUUGACCCAGCAAUGCCGCGUGUAGGAUGAAUCCCUUCGGGGUGUAAACUACUGUCAGGGACUACCAAGCGAUGAGGGUUAACAGCCCUUUGAGUUGAGGCGUCCCGGAGGAACG